This is a small nucleolar RNA of Ornithorhynchus anatinus (platypus), 137 nucleotides long. NCBI's taxonomy places the organism in Eukaryota, Metazoa, Chordata, Mammalia, Monotremata, Ornithorhynchidae. The record is from RefSeq and is a predicted model, not a curated record.
UCCCUCUCAGAGCACAUCUGAAGAGUUUCCAGUACUCUACCAGUUUCAACUCCGUGAGGGAGAGUCAAGCAGAGGCAUACCCAUUCCAUUCCUAGUUUGGGCAGUGGCUAGUGAGUGGAAGACACUCUGCUACAACU